Molecule: ribosomal RNA, 603 nt
Filed under: uncultured fungus
Lineage: Eukaryota; Fungi
Description: eukaryotic LSU rRNA
Rfam family: Eukaryotic large subunit ribosomal RNA
Source: RNAcentral
ACCCGCUGAACUUAAGCAUAUCAAUAAGCGGAGGAAAAGAAACUAACAGGGAUUGCCCUAGUAACGGCGAGUGAAGCGGCAACAGCUCAAAUUUGAAAUCUGGCGUCUUUGGCGUCCGAGUUGUAAUUUGCAGAGGGCGCUUUGGCAUUGGCAGCGGUCCAAGUUCCUUGGAACAGGACGUCACAGAGGGUGAGAAUCCCGUACGUGGUCGCUAGCCUUUACCGUGUAAAGCCCCUUCGACGAGUCGAGUUGUUUGGGAAUGCAGCUCUAAAUGGGAGGUAAAUUUCUUCUAAAGCUAAAUACUGGCCAGAGACCGAUAGCGCACAAGUAGAGUGAUCGAAAGAUGAAAAGCACUUUGGAAAGAGAGUUAAAAAGCACGUGAAAUUGUUGAAAGGGAAGCGCUUGCAGCCAGACUUGCCUGUAGUUGCUCAUCCGGGUUUCUACCCGGUGCACUCUUCUAUAGGCAGGCCAGCAUCAGUUUGGGCGGUUGGAUAAAGGUCUCUGUCAUGUACCUCUCUUCGGGGAGAACUUAUAGGGGAGACGACAUGCAACCAGCCUGGACUGAGGUCCGCGCAUCUGCUAGGAUGCUGGCGUAAUGGCUGU